CUAUAUCACACAAUAUUUAAGUGAAUUUGUAUUCUAGCUUAUAGGUGUAGAUGAUAGGACAAAAAAACAUAUGUCUGCAGUAUACUCAUUAAUAAUAAAGAAAUUGAAAUGUAUAUAAAUAUUACUUGCGUUCAAAGUGUAGAAGUAUGAAUUACACAUUAUGUUCUGCAGAACUGUAGAAAUAAUUUCUUUUUUUUUUCAUUAAUCUUAGGUUCGUCUGUUGUUUCAAGGAAUCAAACUUCCUUUUUUUUCCUGUAUGGCAGUGUCAACAAUAUAUCUAUUAGAAGACAUACACAGCAAAGAAGUAGUUGCUGCAAUAAGGAGCCAAUCUGGAAAAGAGAGAAAUGAAAGUAGCUCUAAAGAGAGGUUCUUCCUAUCCAAGGAGCUUCGACAGCUUCCAUUAAAGUGAUUUCUACAAUGAAAGAUGAAGCCCAAAAGUAAAUAUUUUUUAUUGGUAUUAUUGCUAUAUAUAAUCACCCUCUAUUGAUAGUUUCAGGUGACAAUGCAAUGAGAACCAAACCAGAGAAGCACAAAUAAAUAGAUACCAAAGCUCAGUGGAUAAAUAUUAAAAAAUAGAUAAAGUUCACAAUAAAAUAUUUACAACUAAUUGAAUUAUUCAUGAGAUAGAGCUUUAAAAUGAUUUUAAAAAAAAUGAUCAAUCCUCUUUUCUUGAUCUUUCCCUCCUGAAGUUGUGCAGCUUUCAGGCACCACAUAUAGGCAGCUGCUUCCUCUCCGCCCAGGCUUCUGGAAUCAUUGCUGCUCUUCGAUCGCCACAUCGUUUCGAACAUUUUCCUCCACAGCAUUGUGAAGACUUAUUUAUAGUGUCUUAGGUUUAUAGGAGCUUUAAUUUUAAAAUAAAUGUUUAGUCUGGAAGAUGGCAACAGUCAUCCUCAAUUUAAAUUCAUUAUGUAUUUUCCCAUGUAUUUAAUAUCUUUUCUGAUGUGUAAGCAACCCUUCGGAUUCCAAGACAUUUAUAUCUUAAAUAUGUUAAAUGAA
This is a long non-coding RNA of Ipomoea triloba (trilobed morning glory), 996 nucleotides long. RefSeq lists it as uncharacterized. Lineage: Eukaryota; Viridiplantae; Streptophyta; Magnoliopsida; Solanales; Convolvulaceae. The record is from RefSeq and is a predicted model, not a curated record. The transcript is spliced from 2 exons.